UGUGUGCGUGUAUUGUGAGUUCCAUUGCAGAACAAACUUACUUGUUUUGACAAUAAGAUUCACCAAAUUAAAGAUCAUUUCAAGAGGAAUAUUCUGCUUUUGUCUAGUUCUAACAUGAAAAUGACUAGGUGAUAUAACAUAUCUAUAAUCCUUGUAGCAACUAAGAUGAAAAAUGCCUUCAUAAUCAGUUAGUAAAUUCAUUAAUGUUUUAUCGUCAAAAUAUGGUCAUCAUUUUCUAACUCAUGUUAUAUUCAGAUAAGCUUAGAUGGCACCUUUUACCUUCUCCUCGUUAAUCAGCUCUACUUCUAGGUGUUAGUACCUGAAGCACAAUUUCCCUAUAUUUAUUAUGCACUAUGUACAAGAGCAAUAUGUGUAACAAUAAUAUCCUUACUAAAAUGAACUGCAUAAUAUAAGAAAAUACUUGUAAAAAAAUGACAUAAGCAGCAGCAUUGGUCAUUUAAGUCAUAAUAGAAUACAGCAAUGAAGCAUAGAGAAACCUAGAGGUCAAAGAACGAGACAUCUACGUGUAAAUUCAUUCCGAGAAAGUUGUCAAAGAACUUUGGGAAAUUCUAUAAGCUAAAGUCAUGUAGAGGUACAAAAUUUUGUAAACAAAAAUUCAACCUACUAAAACAACUUGUAAACACACUAAAUGAAACAUACAAGCUAAGAAGCAUGCAGGGAAAAUCAAAGGUUGUGUCCUGUGUCUAUGAUAGGG
Molecule: long non-coding RNA, 715 nt
Filed under: Musa acuminata (dwarf banana)
Lineage: Eukaryota; Viridiplantae; Streptophyta; Magnoliopsida; Zingiberales; Musaceae
Description: long non-coding RNA (MACU_LNC004884)
Source: RNAcentral